RNAcentral lists this non-coding RNA (29 nucleotides) under Rattus norvegicus (Norway rat). The record is from RNAcentral. Lineage: Eukaryota; Metazoa; Chordata; Mammalia; Rodentia; Muridae.
UCCUGUGCGUCCCCACUUUGGUGGAAUGU